This 855-nucleotide long non-coding RNA is filed under the name Homo sapiens (human). RNAcentral describes it as "MAPT antisense RNA 1 (MAPT-AS1)". Lineage: Eukaryota; Metazoa; Chordata; Mammalia; Primates; Hominidae. The record is from RNAcentral.
GCGGCCGCCGAGUCCGUCCACAUCGCCAGGCCAGGAGUCAGAACAAGGACGGGCCUGUGAUGUGUCUGUCUAUGACGAGGAGGACAAUGUCCUAAGGAAUGGAGAGGAAGAAAGUGAAGGGAACCAGGUCCCUGGAUUCCAUGUGGAACAGUAGCCCAGGAUGUGCACUAUGGACUGUUACAAGAGAGAGACAUGAUCUUCCUUAAGGCAUUGAUUUGUCAUGAGUCUCUUUGUUAUAGCCACUUAACGUUACCUUAAUACACCCACUUCAUGGAUAAGUAAAACUGAGGCUUGGAGAAGCCCACAUUGACACAGCAAAGAAGGCUGGGGCUCUUGUGCUGGUUAAAUGGACCUUGAUGUCUUCCAAAUGUUUUCAUGCUGGAUUCUGAGCCACUCUCCUGGCUGCAACUCUGAGGCCGGGCAGACUUUCCGCUGGAAAGAGAACUCAAAUACUGGUGAGAGGUGGAUUUGAAGCCAGGAGCCCCAGGUUUUGGCUCUGCAGGUUUGCACCCAGCUCUGUGGUGUAUGCCCUCACAGGUCACCCAGGACCUCCUGUCCAGGCUUCUUCAGGCCACCCAUGAUGGAGUAGAUUUGAGGAAUGAGGUUUUCAAAGCAGUUAGUGUGCGGGAGAGUAACCCUGGGGCCUCCGGAACCAGAAGGGAGGGAUUUGGGGGCUGGAGCUUGGCAGUCCAGGUUCCAUUGUCCUCAUGUUCUCCCCACUGGCCUGGCCUGUCACUCCAGUCUCUGCAUAGGUUGUCACAUGGCAUUCUCCCUGUGUGUCUCUGUGUCUCUUCUCUUCUUUAUAAAGACAUAGUUAUAAUGGAUUAGGGCCCACCCUAAAAAAAAAAAAAAAAA